UACGGAGGUUCCAAGCGUUAUCCGGAAUCAUUGGGUUUAAAGGGUCCGUAGGCGGUUUAAUAAGUCUGUGGUGAAAGCCCAUCGCUCAACGAUGGAACGGCCAUUGAUACUGUUAAGCUUGAAUUAUUAGGAAGUAACUAGAAUAUGUAGUGUAGCGGUGAAAUGCUUAGAGAUUACAUGGAAUACCAAUUGCGAAGGCAGGUUACUACUAAUAUAUUGACGCUGAUGGACGAAAGCGUGGGGAGCGAACAGG
RNAcentral lists this ribosomal RNA (253 nucleotides) under uncultured bacterium. RNAcentral's name for it is "partial 16S ribosomal RNA". It matches the Rfam family "Bacterial small subunit ribosomal RNA", at positions 524 to 776 of the family's 1533-position model. The record is from RNAcentral.